This 247-nucleotide ribosomal RNA is filed under the name uncultured bacterium. Its description in RNAcentral is "partial 16S ribosomal RNA". It matches the Rfam family "Bacterial small subunit ribosomal RNA", at positions 527 to 773 of the family's 1533-position model. The record is from RNAcentral.
GGAAGGUCCGGGCGUUAUCCGGAUUUAUUGGGUUUAAAGGGAGCGUAGGCCGGUCUUUAAGCGUGCCGUGAAAUUUUGUGGCUCAACCAUGAGAGUGCGGCGCGAACUGGAGACCUUGAGUGCGCGGAAGGCAGGCGGAAUUCGUGGUGUAGCGGUGAAAUGCUUAGAUAUCACGAAGAACCCCGAUUGCGAAGGCAGCCUGCCGCAGCGUUACUGACGCUGAAGCUCGAAAGCGCGGGUAUCGAAC